Molecule: long non-coding RNA, 423 nt
Filed under: Setaria viridis
Lineage: Eukaryota; Viridiplantae; Streptophyta; Magnoliopsida; Poales; Poaceae
Description: long non-coding RNA (SVIR_LNC004488)
Source: RNAcentral
UAUGGGUCCAAAUUAUCAUAACCUCCACAAAAAGAUAAGCUGGUAUUUAUGUCAAUUUCAGUUUGUGUUAGAGAGGGCAUUAGUUCAAUGGUGCAAUAACCAAGCAAAAAAAUUUAACAAAGAGGCAACGAUCAUCAUCUUUCAACAUGACAAGAACUUAAACCAUCACAAUUAAUCACAUAUUAUUCUGUUCAGGUGAUGCAUAUUUUAUUAAGCAUGGCAUGAUGAAACACACAAACUCAAAAUAAAGAGAAAAUAAAACAAAAAAGUAAAAAAGAAAAUACUAUGCACACCCUACACACAUGCUAAAAUAAAUAAAAAAAGAAAACUCAAACCACACAUCUGUGUUUUUAUUCGUCCCCUCCGGUCUCUAAUCCAGGUCAUCUUGCGGCAGGUCAUAAUGUGGCUCUCGCUGCGACGCGU